Molecule: long non-coding RNA, 580 nt
Filed under: Neogobius melanostomus (round goby)
Lineage: Eukaryota; Metazoa; Chordata; Actinopteri; Gobiiformes; Gobiidae
Description: lncRNA (ENSNMLG00000001851.1)
Source: RNAcentral
AGAUGGCCAUCUCAUAUUUGGGUGGAUUUGAGGAUCAGGUCUGAUACAGGACGUCCAAACAGACUCCCGAUCACCACUGGUUUCCUGGUCACACGAAACCUCAACAACUGCGCAAGAGAUUAUAAAAUUCUGGCUUUUGACGAAGAUGGCGACGAGGUCAGAAUCUGCCCAAGUUGGUUGGACAAUACCAACUGUGUUUCCUGCUCAUCCGUCACCAGCUUCGGCACCACGUUUUGUACUUACUCCGACAUUGUGAAUACAUAUGGUGGUGACUAUGGAUAUAUCAGGGAUUUUCCGAGACAAAACCUCAUCCUGACAAACACCGACGGAUCACAAGAAGUCAAGACUCCUAAUGAGGACAUCAGUGAACACUUGGUCCGAAUAUCACAUCAGGAUGAAGGACCUGCUCCAUCCUGCACUGAGGGAGUUUAUAUCCCAAAGUUCACCUCACCGACCCCAGAGUUUGGAGAAAUACUCAAUGCCACUGUUGGAGAAACACUGCUCAUUGAAGUCUCCGCUGAGGCCAACACUUCCAGGUAGAAUCAGUAGUUUUCACUCAGAUGGAAAACAGGAGGUAUUU